Molecule: non-coding RNA, 44 nt
Organism: Schistosoma mansoni
Lineage: Eukaryota; Metazoa; Platyhelminthes; Trematoda; Strigeidida; Schistosomatidae
Source: Rfam
AUCCAGCUGACGAGUCCCAAAUAGGACGAAACGCGCGUCCUGAU